Molecule: long non-coding RNA, 1432 nt
Organism: Homalodisca vitripennis (glassy-winged sharpshooter)
Lineage: Eukaryota; Metazoa; Arthropoda; Insecta; Hemiptera; Cicadellidae
Exons: 4
Source: RefSeq, a predicted model, not a curated record
AGGUUACAGCAGGUUUGUUCAUAGUAACAGAGGAACUAGUCAAUUCUCUGCUUGAUGUAAAACAAUAAAAUACUAUAAUUCUAGGACUCCUUGGCUAACUGCUGAUUAAAGUAAUACACACUCUAAGGAUAUCAGUUGAGGAAGACAGGUUUAGCUGAAUCAACAUGUCUCCAAACAAAAAUAGGCGUUCAGAACCUAUACCGAUUAAAAAAUCUCUUCUUAGAUUUCCUCUUAGAACAUCCCUGACUCCAAGAGUGCAUACUCCAACCAAACUGAAGUCACCAAAGGCAACGUCACCAGCAUUUAAGAGACUUUGUGAUUCACCCAAAACUCUGGCUUCCAAAAUUACUUCAGCAGCAGUGAGCAAUGCAUCAGACAACUCUACAAAGUCCCCAUUGCGAGCUAGAAUCGCUUCUUCUCCGAUAGCUCCACAAAACCAUUCUCCGUCUGAUCAUAAAGAUGAUGUGAUGAGACGGAUUUGUCAAAUGUAUAGUCUUCACUAACAGAGACUACUUUUACACUCCAUUUCAUCUCUGGUUCCACUUCUUCAUUACAAGAUACUUGUCAACUGGUUCAGUGAAGAAAAUGUCAAGCUAAGUAUUGCACAUCACAGUUCUUCGGAGUUUCCCAUCUUCACUUAUGUUAGCUCUAUUUUAAAUCACUGCAGUUGUCUGUUCAAAAUUAUUAAUUUAUUUCAUUGUUGUAGUAUUUAAGCUGUCUAAUUUAAAUUCUAUGCAUUUUUAUUUUUGUUCCAAUAGUUUCAAUAUAAUACAUCUCUAUUACAAUCAUUUCAAAGUAGAAUAUUAAAAUAAUAAAUACUUUUUAUUCAUAAGAAAAUCUACAUUAGUUCACUUACAGGUGGUCAUGGACAGCUAAUAGUCAUUAAUUAGGUUAUGAUAAAUAGCUAUUAAAGUAUAGUUUGAUAUCUUUCUAUUCUGGAUACAAUACUAACCUCAAUGUAUUUUUCACACAUUUCAUACAAUAUUUAAAAGUUAUUUGGUGGUAAAAAAAUGUUUAGAACAAUAUAUGUUCCUAAAAUAAAUAUUAUUUUUUGUGAUUUUAUUUAUUGUUUCUUGUUUGAUUGUAUUGUUUAUUAUUUUAAGCUAAGUUUAUUUUAUUUGUUAAGGUCUUUAGCAGACCAGAUGUUUCUUCCUAGAUUAAGUAUUGAGGGUUUUGGCACGUUAAUGUACAACAGAAAAAAAAAACUAUUUGAACGAAAACAAUAUAUUUCCACUCAAGCGCUAAUUGUACUUUAUUUCUAGUAACUUUAAGUCAGUAAACAUAUUUUAAGUGUAGUGUAUUGCCUCCAUUUUUAUAGUAGUUUAAUUGUAUUUUGCUUAAUUGUUAUAAUGUAUAUACUGUAUUGUUUAUUUUUUAAACUAAUUUAAUUGUUGUUAAAGUAUUAAAAGUGUUACAGUAAGAAUUAAGUAAG